This 859-nucleotide long non-coding RNA is filed under the name Citrus x clementina. Its description in RNAcentral is "Citrus clementina (C. clementina) long non-coding RNA (CCLE_LNC006903)". The record is from RNAcentral. Lineage: Eukaryota; Viridiplantae; Streptophyta; Magnoliopsida; Sapindales; Rutaceae.
AAAUAGUAAAUAUUCCUACUUAAAAAAGUUGAGCAAAGUAAGAAGCAUAAAAAUUCAAUUUAUGUGGACCCAGUAAUUCAUUGUUCCAUGUUCAUUUUAGUGCCCGAUUGGCCACGAGGUUUUGUUUCAUGCUUAUUGCUAUGAUUGAUUUAGUGGUAAAAAGGUUAAGAUAAUAUUUCAAAAUAUAUUAUGGGACAAUUGGGAUUAAAAUUUAAAUUAUGUAAAGUACAACAUCAAUAUAUGCAGUUUAGGUGCGGAUGUUCGCAUAAAUUUUGUAACAACACACUUUGAUGCUCAAAAUUUAGUGUUUUUUUUUUUUAUAACACUAAAAAUUUUUGGUUUAAUCUAUGCAUUUUGGUAAACAAUGUUCAUUAAUAGGAUCAUUGGCACAUGGCUCUAUGUUUUACCAAAAUAAUUAAAAAUAAUAAUUCAUUGAAUAUUACCCAUGCUAUAGGAAUAAAAUUGUUGCCCAUUCCACAUGCAUCUGUGGCUGUGCAUGUGAUUAUAUUUUAAUUCUUUUUGAAGUUUAUGUCUUUCCUAGAACUUAAGAUGAUAUUAUAAAAAUGAUAAGGAUUGUUUUGACUCUUAACCACAGGAGAAGAAAAAGGAAAAAAUUAUUUCACAUUGAUAUUCUUGUCAUCAACCAAAGAUUGUUUCGAUUGUGUGUGACAUUAUCAAAGCGAUUUGUAGUUACUUUGGCUCACUAAUCAAGCGCAGUUAAAUCAAUCUAAACAAAAAUUUCAUAGUUGAAUUAAGAAUCUUACGAUUCAAGAGCAUUAUUUCACAUUUAAAUGACAGCAUGUUGAUAGUGGAUUACUGUACAUGUUUAGUAAUAUACGAAGACAAAAAAUUUUUAAGA